GGUCGCCCACCCUGGGAAGUGCCUAACCUUUUAUUUUAUUUUAUUUUUUUGAGGAAAAAGAACGCCUGACUCACAGGUUGAAGAAACACCCUGGGCCCUCUCUCAUGGCCGGGUUCCCCGUCCCUCUGCAGAGGCUGGGAAGGGUCCCCGGGCUGGAGCCACGGGGGCUUCUCUGGGCUGUGCCUCCGGGGCCAACACUGGCUGCUUGGGGCUGCCCGGGGACUCCAGAGGGCUGCACGGCCACCCUGCCCUGGCUAGAGCGCACCCCACCGGAGCCCACGUGGGCUGGGCGGCUGGAGGGAUGGUCCCCCGGUGACACUGGGAGAAAGGCCACUUGGAUGGGGGCGUUUCUGUUUUGUUCCGCUUUGUGAUGUCACCAAUUUGGAAACAGCGAGGGUGGGUGGGGACUUUUACAGAAUAUUCUCAGGUGUGUACCCGAGAGGCAGAGAGAGGGACGUGGCCGGCAGCUCUGUGCGUGGCCUUGUCCCAAGCACUUGCGCCCGCCCCCGAGCGCCGCCCCCGGGGAGCGGGAAGCCAGCACUCGCACUUUGGCCAGGGGCGCGUGGAAGGUGGUGGCAGGCACCGGCCUGGGCAGCUUCCAGGCCUGGCUGGCCACGACCACGGCCCGAGGGGGAGCCCGCCAGGCCACGCCGCACUGAGCCACAGCCCCGGGGGCCGCCUCCCGGGGCCCCUUGAGGCACUGAGGCACCGAGACUGGUUCUCCCCGAGAGACUCGGAAGGUGGGGAACGAGGGGACUGUGUUUGGGGAGGUGGCUUUUUCGUCUGCUGUUGACUGAACACUACAGCGCCCUGUGGUUCCGGGCUUCGCACAGCUGUCCCAGGGAUGGAUCGCCUGUGCUGCCUUCGCCCGCCGCCACACCGGGACCCUGCACGGCUGCUUCUGGCCUCGACAGAUGACAAAAGAAACAGCCCCAAAAUACGACCACUCCAACCAGCAGUUCCCGCCUGCCUGCCCGCCACUGUCAGGCCUGCCCUGGCCUCCUCGUCCGCAGGGCUGUCUGCUGGCUUCUGGGGGCAGAAGAGCGGGGAGCCCCGUGGAAGGGUCAGGGGAGACCAGGUCAGGGCAGCUACAUUUCUGGUGAUCAGCCCCAUGGGGAGACGGGGCUGGCGGGAUACCCCCCCCCCGGCUUCCCCACACCACUUCUGUCUCACCCGGAAGCGUCCUUUUUUUGUGCCAGGUGUCUACCUAAGAGGGUUGGUGCCAGAAGCCCCCCAUGGCGAGUGCUGGGGCCCGGCGGUGCCCUGGGGGAGCAGAUGGGGCCACCCCUGGCAGGGCCGCUACAACCUUUUCCAGCAGCGGAGCCCUCUGGGGGGCCUGUGCUUGUGGCAUCUCUGAGGGCCUAGAUUGCACAAGGUGACCUGGCCGUGGCCUGAGGGUGGAGUCGCCCAGCACGCAGGCCGGGGCGCUGCGGGGCUAAGUAUUAGGCCUUCCCAGGGAGGGGGCGUGCCAAGCAUCCCAGAGCCGGGCUGGGACCGCCAAAACGUCGUGGCCUGGAUCCUCUGGGUCUGAGUGCCUGAUCCCCUGCCCCCCAAAAAAGCAGAGGUAGGUGUUGCAGGCCCAGGGCAGGGGUGCCUGCCCCAGGAGAGUCCCAGGCAGUGGUUCUCGUGCCAGUGGCACCCAGGGGCAAGGACAGCCAACCCCCACCCUUGCCACGUGUGGGGCCACGUGGGCAUGUGGGGUGUGUGUUUUUACCUUGGUGAAUCUCACCUGCCAACGAUUUCUCGUGAGUGCCGACCACCUUCUCCGACCAUGUUACGCCCGGGCGGCAGCAGCCCCCGGCCACUGCAAACCCAUGCCCUGGGUCCCCCGGCUCCCCCAGGGAGGCAUCCCCGUGCCAAUGUCCCCCAGUGGUGGCAGCAGAUCCUGUGGCCGGCCUGGCGGACGGGACCCAGUGAUACUUGUAUAUUACACAGUCCUGAUUUCAGACAAUUUCAACCUUAAUCUAUUUAAAAAAGAAUAUUCUAUACAAGCUGUUUUUAAGCCUUUUACCAUUUGAAAUGCAUGUGUUGUGCGCGUUGGGGAUGGGAGGAGGGGCUGAGGAGCGGCUCAGUGUCACCUCCCACAGCCACCGGCCCUGACCCUUAAUCCAGACACCGAUGGAAGUCGACUUUUCAUAUCUUUCUCCUGAAAUGAACUCUGUUUUAAAUUGGAAUAAAUUUUGUUCCU
Molecule: long non-coding RNA, 2188 nt
Filed under: Homo sapiens (human)
Lineage: Eukaryota; Metazoa; Chordata; Mammalia; Primates; Hominidae
Description: non-protein coding lnc-GNA15-3:1
Source: RNAcentral